CGAAAACGAAUUCUCUCUUGAGUGGAUCCUGAGUACGACGGAGCACGUGAAAUUCCGUCGGAAUCUGGGAGGACCAUCUCCUAAGGCUAAAUACUCUCUAGUGACCGAUAGUGAACCAGUACCGUGAGGGAAAGGUGAAAAGUACCCCGGAAGGGGAGUGAAAGAGAACUUGAAACCGUGUGCUUACAAGUAGUCAGAGCCCGUUAAUGGGUGAUGGCGUGCCUUUUGUAGAAUGAACCGGCGAGUUACGAUCUGAUGCAAGGUUAAGCAGAAAAUGUGGAGCCGUAGCGAAAGCGAGUCUGAAUAGGGCGAAUGAGUAUUUGGUCGUAGACCCGAAACCAGGUGAUCUACCCUUGGUCAGGUUGAAGUUCAGGUAACACUGAAUGGAGGACCGAACCGACUUACGUUGAAAAGUGAGCGGAUGAACUGAGGGUAGCGGAGAAAUUCCAAUCGAACUUGGAGAUAGCUGGUUCUCUCCGAAAUAGCUUUAGGGCUAGCCUCAAGUGAUGAUUAUUGGAGGUAGAGCACUGUUUGGACGAGGGGCCCCUCUCGGGUUACCGAAUUCAGACAAACUCCGAAUGCCAAAUAAUUUAACUUGGGAGUCAGAAUGUGGGUGAUAAGGUCCAUAUUCGAAAGGGAAACAGCCCAGACCACCAGCUAAGGUCCCAAAAUAUAUGUUAAGUGGAAAAGGAUGUGGCGUUGCCCAGACAACUA
This 714-nucleotide ribosomal RNA is filed under the name Staphylococcus pseudintermedius. RNAcentral describes it as "partial 23S ribosomal RNA". It matches the Rfam family "Bacterial large subunit ribosomal RNA", at positions 380 to 1095 of the family's 2925-position model. The record is from RNAcentral. Lineage: Bacteria; Bacillati; Bacillota; Bacilli; Caryophanales; Staphylococcaceae.